GGCGAAGCGAUAUCUCGGUUACAGUAUUGAGUCGCGAGCGAAAGCUGGGGAGCGAAUAUGAUAGAACCCUGGUAGUCCACGCCUAAACGUGAGUGCUAAGUGUUAGGGGGUUUCCGCCCCUUAGUGCUGCAGCUAACGCAUUAAGCACUCCGCCUGGGGAGUACGGUCGCAAGACUGAAACUCAAAGGAAUUGACGGGGGCCCGCACAAGCGGUGGAGCAUGUGGUUUAAUUCGAAGCAACGCGAAGAACCUUACCAGGUCUUGACAUCCUCUGACAAUCCUAGAGAUAGGACGUCCCCUUCGGGGGCAGAGUGACAGGUGGUGCAUGGUUGUCGUCAGCUCGUGUCGUGAGAUGUUGGGUUAAGUCCCGCAACGAGCGCAACCCUUGAUCUUAGUUGCCAGCAUUCAGUUGGGCACUCUAAGGUGACUGCCGGUGACAAACCGGAGGAAGGUGGGGAUGACGUCAAAUCAUCUGCCCCUUAUGACCUGGGCUACACACGUGCUACAAUGGACAGAACAAAGGGCAGCGAAACCGCGAGGUUAAGCCAAUCCCACAAAUCUAUACUCACUUGGUGUCGCAGGCUGCGACUAUUACUGAAUGGAGCAGGUUCGCUAGUAAUCGCGGAUCAGCAUGCCCCGGUGAAUACGUUCCCGGGCCUUGUGCACACCGACCCUCACACCACGAGAGUUUGUAACACCCGGAGUCGUGAGGUAGCCUUUUAAGAGCCAGCCGCCCAAAGUGGGACAGUGAUGGGGUGAAUCUAACAGAGAGCCGCUCG
RNAcentral lists this ribosomal RNA (779 nucleotides) under Bacillus subtilis. RNAcentral describes it as "bacterial SSU rRNA". It matches the Rfam family "Bacterial small subunit ribosomal RNA", at positions 714 to 1506 of the family's 1533-position model. The record is from RNAcentral. Lineage: Bacteria; Bacillati; Bacillota; Bacilli; Caryophanales; Bacillaceae.